ACAGUCACACGAGUUUGAUCAUGGCUCAAGGAUGAACGCUAGCGGCAAGGCUUAAACACAUGCAAGUCGAACGAUGUAGCAAUACAUAGUGGCGCACGGGUGAGUAACGCGUGGAAUAUACCUUAUAGUGGGAAUAACUUGGGAAACUAAAGCUAAUACCGCAUACGCCCGAGAGGGGAAAGAUUUAUCGCUAUAAGAUUAGCCCGCGUAGGAUUAGGUAGUUGGUGGGGUAAAGGCCUACCAAGCCGACGAUCCUUAGCUGGUCUGAGAGGAUGAUCAGCCACACUGGGACUGAGACACGGCCCAGACUCCUACGGGAGGCAGCAGUGGGGAAUAUUGGACAAUGGGCGAAAGCCUGAUCCAGCAAUGCCGCGUGAGUGAUGAAGGCCUUCGGGUCGUAAAGCUCUUUUGUCCGGGAAGAUAAUGACUGUACCGUAAGAAUAAGCACCGGCUAACUACGUG
RNAcentral lists this ribosomal RNA (462 nucleotides) under uncultured bacterium. RNAcentral's name for it is "bacterial SSU rRNA". It matches the Rfam family "Bacterial small subunit ribosomal RNA", at positions 1 to 507 of the family's 1533-position model. The record is from RNAcentral.